GCGCGAUUAGCUCAGUGGUAGAGCGGCUCGUUUACACCGAGUAGGCCGUAGGUUCAAUCCCUACAUCGCCCACUA
RNAcentral lists this transfer RNA (75 nucleotides) under Candidatus Brennerbacteria bacterium RIFOXYC1_FULL_41_11. RNAcentral's name for it is "tRNA-Val". It matches the Rfam family "tRNA". Rfam says of the family: Transfer RNA (tRNA) molecules are approximately 80 nucleotides in length. The record is from RNAcentral. Lineage: Bacteria; Candidatus Brenneribacteriota.